GUCGUACUGAGGCAAGCAGACGGGCCUAAUUGUAUCUAGUUAAAGGGGAAAUGUACAUACAAAUUCUGACAGGUUGGAACAUGAUAACUUGGUUAAAUAUUAAGCCUUUUCGUCCACGCUGUUUGAGAAACGUACACAUAGAUCAUGUUUUCAUCCUGUCGUGGUUUUGUCUUGUAAUGGGCUUCCUCAAGUUUACCUUGUACUGUGAAUGUGUUCACUCAAAAAUGUGUUUUGUUCAUUGUUACUUCACUUGGUUGUCCAGAUUGAUGAAUGUGCAUAGUUUGACACUAGAAGGCUGUUUUCACAUUUAUCUGCUGAGGUGGAAAUGUUUCUCUGUGCUCACCUUAAAACUCGGUUUAAAACAAGCAGGAUUUUAUGACACGGAAGCCGAUCCGUGGUCCAAUAUGCAAUUUACAGAAAUGGGAUGUGAAAAGUUGAAACCGCCAGUGCACAUCGACUUUUAGUCAAGUAGAGGACAUCUUGCGUGCAGUAGUUAAACGUUUUGAAAUGAAAAAAUAUAGUAAUGGUAUUCAUGGAUACUUCACUGACUGAUUCUUUUCACUGAGUGACAAAGCAUAAAUACAAUUUAGAAAGGUUUUUAAAAAAGGUAAUACGAUUUUCUUGACACAAAUUAUUACUGGAUUUUUAUUCUAUAUGUCUUAAAACAUGGGGGGGGAUCUUUAAACUUCGUUGAAGUUGUAUGCCCACAUUUGAAAUAUUGUGGUUACAGAGAGGAAUGUACUGUUGUGGUGCAACAUAUGUAUCCGGUUGAUUACAAGUGUAUAUCAUUAUUCAUUAUGGUGACAGACGUUAGACCAUAGCUUGUUCUUCCUCUAAAAAAAAUUGGGAAGAUACCAUUUUUGUGGGGGUCUGAUGGAGGCUUGUUUUCUGAAAACAUAAAACAGUGAACUGAGACCAUAGUAUUGGCAUUUUGUUGUGUUUUUUUAAGUGCUACCUUCUCUGUUGUGUGAAAAGCUUGCAAAGAGCCUCCCAGACUAACCUGAGAAAUUCAGCGGCGUCCGCAGUUUCAUCAGGGCUAUAUCACUGUCGUGGCUCCUGUGGUUAUAGUUCUUGUUGUAAAUGAUCUUCUCCACAGCGUAACCUGUGUGCUGAGCCAUUUUAGCCGAGGUGCGGGUGACAAUACCGGCGUAGACCACCCAGCUGGAUACCUGAGGUUGCCUGUAGCUGACAUUUGAGGGGGAAAAAAAAGAGGAGGCAGAUACUGAUAAGAGAGAAUAUGUCAGGUUUGGUGCAGCUGUUAAUGUCGGAUUAUUCUCCUUUGAUUUUGUCGUCCCGGACCUUUUAGUGUUGGUAAGGUCAGCUGUCUUACUUGUGAACACAAUGCGCAGCUGUGACUACCCAUUGACUGGUGAUGAUAGAGCCUCCGCAGGUGUGACGGUUGCUGUAGUAGAGGCUGACCUGCCAAGGCCACCUGCCCGGCGUGGCCUCGACCCCCCCGAUUAUCCUGGGCAGCUUCGCUCGUGUCCCACACUCUACACAGAGAUCCAUUCAUCAAAAAAGUGGUGGACUGCUGCAUCAUUCACUCUGUCUCUAGCUUUUUUUGUGAAGUAUUAUAAAGAAACUAAAGGGCAUGGUGUUAAAUGCAAAGUCAAACAAAAAGUGAAGUUUAAUUUGCUCACCAAAACAUUGCAAAGCGAUAACCUUCCCUGUGAUACAGUUCCCCCUAAAUGAAAAUAAAUUGUGUAAUUAAUGAUGAAUAAUUAAUGUGUUUGUAGACACAAUUUUCUCUGCAUCAUUACGAGAAGGAUGUCCUCGGAUAUAUGGCCUUACCUGAAUUGCCACAUAUUUUCCAGAUUGCUCUUGUGUUCUGAGGUAAUUUGUAUAAAGCCUUCAGUAUGGUUUGGCCCAAUAUCAGUUAGUUUCACUCCUUUAUGCUUGGUCAGUCUGGUAAGAGAACAUAUGCAAAAUAGGUGGGAGUAAGUGUUAAGAUAAUUCAGACUCAUAACAUGUUAAGCAAGAAUGCAAAUAAAGUAUUAGAAAAUCACAAAUAAGAAAAGCUUUCAACCUUAGCAAA
Long non-coding RNA from Etheostoma spectabile (orangethroat darter), 2035 nucleotides. RefSeq lists it as uncharacterized. The record is from RefSeq and is a predicted model, not a curated record. NCBI's taxonomy places the organism in Eukaryota, Metazoa, Chordata, Actinopteri, Perciformes, Percidae. The transcript has 2 exons.